CACUCCUGCGGGAGCAGCAGUGGGGAAUAUUGGACAAUGGGCGCAAGCCUGAUCCAGCCAUGCCGCGUGAGUGAUGAAGGCCCUAGGGUUGUAAAGCUCUUUCACCGGUGAAGAUAAUGACGGUAACCGGAGAAGAAGCCCCGGCUAACUUCGUGCCAGCAGCCGCGGUAAUACGAAGGGGGCUAGCGUUGUUCGGAUUUACUGGGCGUAAAGCGCACGUAGGCGGACUAUUAAGUCAGGGGUGAAAUCCCGGGGCUCAACCCCGGAACUGCCUUUGAUACUGGUAGUCUUGAGUUCGAGAGAAGUGAGUGGAAUUCCGAGUGUAGAGGUGAAAUUCGUAGAUAUUCGGAGGAACACCAGUGGCGAAGGCGGCUCACUGGCUCGAUACUGACGCUGAGGUGCGAAAGCGUGGGGAGCAAACAGGAUUAGAAACCCCAGUAGUCCCAUGAU
This 450-nucleotide ribosomal RNA is filed under the name uncultured organism. Its description in RNAcentral is "partial 16S ribosomal RNA". It matches the Rfam family "Bacterial small subunit ribosomal RNA", at positions 334 to 801 of the family's 1533-position model. The record is from RNAcentral.